Molecule: transfer RNA, 85 nt
Filed under: Thermoplasmatales archaeon SCGC AB-539-C06
Lineage: Archaea; Methanobacteriati; Thermoplasmatota; Thermoplasmata; Thermoplasmatales
Rfam family: tRNA
About the family: Transfer RNA (tRNA) molecules are approximately 80 nucleotides in length. Their secondary structure includes four short double-helical elements and three loops (D, anti-codon, and T loops).
Source: Rfam by way of RNAcentral
GCCGAGGUGGCCCAGCCUGGAACGGCGCGAGACUGGAAAUCUCGUGAGGCAUUGCCUCUCAGGAGUUCAAAUCUCCUCCUCGGCG